GUUUGCCUACGGGGGGCAGCAGUCGAGAAUCAUUCACAAUGGGGGAAACCCUGAUGGUGCGACGCCGCGUGGGGGAAUGAAGGUCUUCGGAUUGUAAGUCCCUGUCAUGUGGGAGCAAAUUAAAAAGAUAGUACCACAAGAGGAAGAGACGGCUAACUCUGUGCUAGCAGCCGCGGUAAUACAGAGGUCUCAAGCGUUGUUCGGAAUCACUGGGCGUAAAGCGUGCGAAGGCUGUUGCGUAAGUCGUGUGUGAAAGGCGCGGGCUGAACCCGCGGACGGCACAUGAUACUGCGAGACUA
This 299-nucleotide ribosomal RNA is filed under the name uncultured bacterium. RNAcentral's name for it is "partial 16S ribosomal RNA". It matches the Rfam family "Bacterial small subunit ribosomal RNA", at positions 333 to 643 of the family's 1533-position model. The record is from RNAcentral.